AGUGAACGCUGGCGGUAGGCCUAACACAUGCAAGUCGAACGGCAGCACAGUAAGAGCUUGCUCUUACGGGUGGCGAGUGGCGGACGGGUGAGGAAUACAUCGGAAUCUACUUUUUCGUGGGGGAUAACGUAGGGAAACUUACGCUAAUACCGCAUACGACCUACGGGUGAAAGCAGGGGAUCUUCGGACCUUGCGCGAUUGAAUGAGCCGAUGUCGGAUUAGCUAGUUGGCGGGGUAAAGGCCCACCAAGGCGACGAUCCGUAGCUGGUCUGAGAGGAUGAUCAGCCACACUGGAACUGAGACACGGUCCAGACUCCUGCGGGAGGCAGCAGUUGGGAAUAUUGGACAAUGGGCGCAAGCCUAAUCCAGCCAUACCGCGUGGGUGAAGAAGGCCUUCGGGUUGUAAAGCCCUUUUGUUGGGAAAGAAAAGCAGCAGGUUAAUACCCCGCUGUUCUGACGGUACCCAAAGAAUAAGCAACGGCUAACUUCGUG
This 492-nucleotide ribosomal RNA is filed under the name uncultured bacterium. RNAcentral describes it as "partial 16S ribosomal RNA". It matches the Rfam family "Bacterial small subunit ribosomal RNA", at positions 29 to 507 of the family's 1533-position model. The record is from RNAcentral.